CCUACGGGAGGCAGCAGUGGGGGAUAUUGCACAAUGGGGGGACCCCUGAUGCAGCGACGCCGCGUGGGUGAAGAAGCGCCUCGGCGCGUAAAGCCCUGUCAGCAGGGAAGAAAAUGACGGUACCUGAAGAAGAAGCCCCGGCUAACUACGUGCCAGCAGCCGCGGUAAUACGUAGGGGGCAAGCGUUAUCCGGCUUUCCUGGGGGGAAAGGGGGCGCAGACGGCGAUGCAAGCCAGGAGUGAAAGCCCGGGGCCCAACCCCGGGACUGCUCUUGGAACUGCGUGGCUGGAGUGCAGGAGGGGCAGGCGGAAUUCCUGGUGUAGCGGUGAAAUGCGUAGAUAUCAGGAGGAACACCGGUGGCGAAGGCGGCCUGCUGGACUGCAACUGACGUUGAGGCCCGAAAGCGUGGGGAGCAAACAGGAUUAGAUACCCGAGUAGUC
RNAcentral lists this ribosomal RNA (440 nucleotides) under uncultured bacterium. Its description in RNAcentral is "partial 16S ribosomal RNA". It matches the Rfam family "Bacterial small subunit ribosomal RNA", at positions 338 to 795 of the family's 1533-position model. The record is from RNAcentral.